Non-coding RNA from Drosophila takahashii, 832 nucleotides. Lineage: Eukaryota; Metazoa; Arthropoda; Insecta; Diptera; Drosophilidae. The record is from RefSeq and is a predicted model, not a curated record.
CCCGUGAAACGAAUCAUUCGUACAUUCAGUUUUUCAAAAAAACUCGAACAAAACGGUCGAAAGGCUCGGGCUGCGGACGAUUUGGAAAUCAGCUCGAACGAUUCGGUCUGUCGCGAGAAAAACUGAAAAGCCGGCAAAACUGAUGUGUUGUGAUUGAGAAAAACGGUAGCCAAACGAGCCGUUUAAUGGGCAAACAAGCUGGCCAAUAACCAAUAACCAUUUACCAUCAAGCAAAGCAGGAAUCGUGAUAACAAAGCGGAGACGAAACCGGCAGCAAUUUGUUAAUUUUAAACGUCGUGUGUGUUCCUCUCCUGGCAGCAGCAACAAAAAUACAAGCGAAAAGCAUUUAAAUUGCAUUUUUAGGACCCUUGAUAUUUUAGUGGAGGAGACAGCAAGGUCGUCGGGGUCAAACGAUGCAAGUGACAAAAUCAAAAUUGGAGUAAACAGGGUAAAAGUUUGAAGAACAAAAAGGAGACACGGAUUAUUAUUUUUUUGUAUGUAAUUUUGAGCAUCUUCGCGUCGCGUAACGGUAAAUCUUCUGCGUUCUGUUUCUGUGUGCGUUCGUGUUUGAGUGUGCGUUUCUCGGUUUUGUUUUCGUCUCCUCCUCGCCGUCCUCCUUACACCUUCAACUGCCAUCUCUCCUAAUUUCUUCUACGAAAAAAAGGAGAGCGAAGACCAAAAAUUUUGAAGACCAACAUAUUGAUGAUUUAAUUUUUACAACCUGAAAAAUUUUGUAUAAAUACCGCACACUGGGGCUCAAAAUGACAUGCUGUUAAUAACAAUCAAGAAGCAAUGCGGAGCAGCGACGGCGGUGCCAACAAAAAUGUGAGGA